GAUUAAGUUAUUAAGGGCGCACGGUGGAUGCCUUGGCACUAGAAGCCGAUGAAGGACGUUACUAACGACGAUAUGCUUUGGGGAGCUGUAAGUAAGCUUUGAUCCAGAGAUUUCCGAAUGGGGAAACCCAGCAUGAGUUAUGUCAUGUUAUCGAUAUGUGAAUACAUAGCAUAUCAGAAGGCACACCCGGAGAACUGAAACAUCUUAGUACCCGGAGGAAGAGAAAGAAAAUUCGAUUCCCUUAGUAGCGGCGAGCGAAACGGGAAGAGCCCAAACUAACAAGCUUGCUUGUUGGGGUUGUAGGACACUCUAUACGGAGUUACAAAGGACGACAUUAGACGAAUCAACUGGAAAGAUGAAUCAAAGAAGGUAAUAAUCCUGUAGUCGAAAAUGUUGUCUCUCUUGAGUGGAUCCUGAGUACGACGGAGCACGUGAAAUUCCGUCGGAAUCUGGGAGGACCAUCUCCUAAGGCUAAAUACUCUCUAGUGACCGAUAGUGAACCAGUACCGUGAGGGAAAGGUGAAAAGAACCCCGGAAGGGGAGUGAAAUAGAACCUGAAACCGUGUGCUUACAAGUAGUCAGAGCCCGUUAAUGGGUGAUGGCGUGCCUUUUGUAGAAUGAACCGGCGAGUUACGAUUUGAUGCAAGGUUAAGCAGUAAAUGUGGAGCCGUAGCGAAAGCGAGUCUGAAUAGGGCGUUUAGUAUUUGGUCGUAGACCCGAAACCAGGUGAUCUACCCUUGGUCAGGUUGAAGUUCAGGUAACACUGAAUGGAGGACCGAACCGACUUACGUUGAAAAGUGAGCGGAUGAACUGAGGGUAGCGGAGAAAUUCCAAUCGAACCUGGAGAUAGCUGGUUCUCUCCGAAAUAGCUUUAGGGCUAGCCUCAAGUGAUGAUUAUUGGAGGUAGAGCACUGUUUGGACGAGGGGCCCCUCUCGGGUUACCGAAUUCAGACAAACUCCGAAUGCCAAUUAAUUUAACUUGGGAGUCAGAACAUGGGUGAUAAGGUCCGUGUUCGAAAGGGAAACAGCCCAGACCACCAGCUAAGGUCCCAAAAUAUAUGUUAAGUGGAAAAGGAUGUGGCGUUGCCCAGACAACUAGGAUGUUGGCUUAGAAGCAGCCAUCAUUUAAAGAGUGCGUAAUAGCUCACUAGUCGAGUGACACUGCGCCGAAAAUGUACCGGGGCUAAACAUAUUACCGAAGCUGUGGAUUGUCCUUUGGACAAUGGUAGGAGAGCGUUCUAAGGGCGUUGAAGCAUGAUCGCAAGGACAUGUGGAGCGCUUAGAAGUGAGAAUGCCGGUGUGAGUAGCGAAAGACGGGUGAGAAUCCCGUCCACCGAUUGACUAAGGUUUCCAGAGGAAGGCUCGUCCGCUCUGGGUUAGUCGGGUCCUAAGCUGAGGCCGACAGGCGUAGGCGAUGGAUAACAGGUUGAUAUUCCUGUACCACCUAUAAUCGUUUUAAUCGAUGGGGGGACGCAGUAGGAUAGGCGAAGCGUGCGAUUGGAUUGCACGUCUAAGCAGUAAGGCUGAGUAUUAGGCAAAUCCGGUACUCGUUAAGGCUGAGCUGUGAUGGGGAGAAGACAUUGUGUCUUCGAGUCGUUGAUUUCACACUGCCGAGAAAAGCCUCUAGAUAGAAAAUAGGUGCCCGUACCGCAAACCGACACAGGUAGUCAAGAUGAGAAUUCUAAGGUGAGCGAGCGAACUCUCGUUAAGGAACUCGGCAAAAUGACCCCGUAACUUCGGGAGAAGGGGUGCUCUUUAGGGUUAACGCCCAGAAGAGCCGCAGUGAAUAGGCCCAAGCGACUGUUUAUCAAAAACACAGGUCUCUGCUAAACCGUAAGGUGAUGUAUAGGGGCUGACGCCUGCCCGGUGCUGGAAGGUUAAGAGGAGUGGUUAGCUUCUGCGAAGCUACGAAUCGAAGCCCCAGUAAACGGCGGCCGUAACUAUAACGGUCCUAAGGUAGCGAAAUUCCUUGUCGGGUAAGUUCCGACCCGCACGAAAGGCGUAACGAUUUGGGCACUGUCUCAACGAGAGACUCGGUGAAAUCAUAGUACCUGUGAAGAUGCAGGUUACCCGCGACAGGACGGAAAGACCCCGUGGAGCUUUACUGUAGCCUGAUAUUGAAAUUCGGCACAGCUUGUACAGGAUAGGUAGGAGCCUUUGAAACGUGAGCGCUAGCUUACGUGGAGGCGCUGGUGGGAUACUACCCUAGCUGUGUUGGCUUUCUAACCCGCACCACUUAUCGUGGUGGGAGACAGUGUCAGGCGGGCAGUUUGACUGGGGCGGUCGCCUCCUAAAAGGUAACGGAGGCGCUCAAAGGUUCCCUCAGAAUGGUUGGAAAUCAUUCAUAGAGUGUAAAGGCAUAAGGGAGCUUGACUGCGAGACCUACAAGUCGAGCAGGGUCGAAAGACGGACUUAGUGAUCCGGUGGUUCCGCAUGGAAGGGCCAUCGCUCAACGGAUAAAAGCUACCCCGGGGAUAACAGGCUUAUCUCCCCCAAGAGUUCACAUCGACGGGGAGGUUUGGCACCUCGAUGUCGGCUCAUCGCAUCCUGGGGCUGUAGUCGGUCCCAAGGGUUGGGCUGUUCGCCCAUUAAAGCGGUACGCGAGCUGGGUUCAGAACGUCGUGAGACAGUUCGGUCCCUAUCCGUCGUGGGCGUAGGAAAUUUGAGAGGAGCUGUCCUUAGUACGAGAGGACCGGGAUGGACAUACCUCUGGUGUACCAGUUGUCGUGCCAACGGCAUAGCUGGGUAGCUAUGUGUGGACGGGAUAAGUGCUGAAAGCAUCUAAGCAUGAAGCCCCCUCAAGAUGAGAUUUCCCAACUUCGGUUAUAAGAUCCCUCAAAGAUGAUGAGGUUAAUAGGUUCGAGGUGGAAGCAUGGUGACAUGUGGAGCUGACGAAUACUAAUCGAUCGAAGACUUAAUCAA
RNAcentral lists this ribosomal RNA (2922 nucleotides) under Staphylococcus aureus. RNAcentral's name for it is "23S ribosomal RNA". It matches the Rfam family "Bacterial large subunit ribosomal RNA". Lineage: Bacteria; Bacillati; Bacillota; Bacilli; Caryophanales; Staphylococcaceae. The record is from RNAcentral.